GACGGAGGAUGCAAGCGUUAUCCGGAAUGAUUGGGCGUAAAGCGUCCGCAGGUGGCAGUUCAAGUCUGCUGUCAAAGACCGGGGCUUAACUUCGGAAAGGCAGUGGAAACUGAACAGCUAGAGUAUGGUAGGGGCAGAGGGAAUUCCUGGUGUAGCGGUGAAAUGCGUAGAUAUUGGGAAGAACACCGGUGGCGAAAGCGCGCGACUGGACCUGAACUGACACUGAGGGACGAAAGCUAGGGGAGCGAAAGGG
This 253-nucleotide ribosomal RNA is filed under the name uncultured bacterium. RNAcentral describes it as "partial 16S ribosomal RNA". It matches the Rfam family "Bacterial small subunit ribosomal RNA", at positions 524 to 776 of the family's 1533-position model. The record is from RNAcentral.